UGGGGAAUUUUGGACAAUGGGCGAAAGCCUGAUCCAGCCAUGCCGCGUGCAGGAUGAAGGCCUUCGGGUUGUAAACUGCUUUUGUACGGAACGAAAAGACUCUGGUUAAUACCUGGGGUCCAUGACGGUACCGUAAGAAUAAGCACCGGCUAACUACGUGCCAGCAGCCGCGGUAAUACGUAGGGUGCAAGCGUUAAUCGGAAUUACUGGGCGUAAAGCGUGCGCAGGCGGUUAUAUAAGACNGAUGUGAAAUCCCCGGGCUCAACCUGGGAACUGCAUUUGUGACUGUAUAGCUAGAGUACGGCAGAGGGGGGAUGGAAUUCCGCGUGUAGCAGUGAAAUGCGUAGAUAUGCGGAGGAACACCGAUGGCGAAGGCAAUCCCCUGGGCCUGUACUGACGCUCAUGCACGAAAGCGUGGGGAGCAAAACAGGAUUAGAUACCCUGGUAGUCCACGCCCUAAAACGAUGUCAACUGGUUGUUGGGGUCCUCACUGACUCAGUAACGAAGCUAACGCGUGAAGUUGACCGCCUGGGGAGUACGGCCGCAAGGGUUGAAACUCAAAAGGAAUUGACGGGGUCAUAGCUGUUUCCU
RNAcentral lists this ribosomal RNA (591 nucleotides) under uncultured bacterium. Its description in RNAcentral is "partial 16S ribosomal RNA". It matches the Rfam family "Bacterial small subunit ribosomal RNA", at positions 355 to 1375 of the family's 1533-position model. The record is from RNAcentral.